UGGGGAAUAUUGCACAAUGGGCGCAAGCCUGAUGCAGCAACGCCGCGUGAACGAUGAAGGUCUUCGGAUCGUAAAGUUCUGUUGCAGGGGAAGAUAAUGACGGUACCCUGUGAGGAAGCCCCGGCUAACUACGUGCCAGCAGCCGCGGUAAUACGUAGGGGGCUAGCGUUAUCCGGAUUUACUGGGCGUAAAGGGUGCGUAGGUGGUCUUUCAAGUCGGUGGUUAAAGGCUACGGCUCAACCGUAGUUAGCCUCCGAAACUGGAAGACUUGAGUGCAGAAGAGGAAAGUGGAAUUCCCAGUGUAGCGGUGAAAUGCGUAGAUAUUGGGAGGAACACCAGUAGCGAAGGCGGCUUUCUGGACUGCAACUGACACUGAGGCACGAAAGCGUGGGUAGCAAACAGG
RNAcentral lists this ribosomal RNA (403 nucleotides) under Verrucomicrobiota bacterium. RNAcentral's name for it is "Verrucomicrobia bacterium partial 16S ribosomal RNA". It matches the Rfam family "Bacterial small subunit ribosomal RNA", at positions 355 to 776 of the family's 1533-position model. The record is from RNAcentral. Lineage: Bacteria; Pseudomonadati; Verrucomicrobiota.